UCGGGCUUUGCCUGGUGGUGAGAGUGGCGAACGGGUGAGUAAUGCGUGACCGACCUGCCCCAUGCACCGGAAUAGCUCCUGGAAACGGGUGGUAAUGCCGGAUGCUCCAUCACACCGCAUGGUGUGUUGGGAAAGCCUUUGCGGCAUGGGAUGGGGUCGCGUCCUAUCAGCUUGAUGGCGGGGUAACGGCCCACCAUGGCUUCGACGGGUAGCCGGCCUGAGAGGGCGACCGGCCACAUUGGGACUGAGAUACGGCCCAGACUCCUACGGGAGGCAGCAGUGGGGAAUAUUGCACAAUGGGCGCAAGCCUGAUGCAGCGACGCCGCGUGAGGGAUGGAGGCCUUCGGGUUGUAAACCUCUUUUGUUAGGGAGCAAGGCACUUUGUGUUGAGUGUACCUUUCGAAUAAGCACCGGCUAACUACGUGCCAGCAGCCGCGGUAAUACGUAGGGUGCAAGCGUUAUCCGGAAUUAUUGGGCGUAAAGGGCUCGUAGGCGGUUCGUCGCGUCCGGUGUGAAAGUCCAUCGCUUAACGGUGGAUCCGCGCCGGGUACGGGCGGGCUUGAGUGCGGUAGGGGAGACUGGAAUUCCCGGUGUAACGGUGGAAUGUGUAGAUAUCGGGAAGAACACCAAUGGCGAANGCAGGUCUCUGGGCCGUUACUGACGCUGAGGAGCGAAAGCGUGGGGAGCGAACAGGA
RNAcentral lists this ribosomal RNA (695 nucleotides) under Bifidobacterium breve. RNAcentral describes it as "bacterial SSU rRNA". It matches the Rfam family "Bacterial small subunit ribosomal RNA", at positions 62 to 777 of the family's 1533-position model. The record is from RNAcentral. Lineage: Bacteria; Bacillati; Actinomycetota; Actinomycetes; Bifidobacteriales; Bifidobacteriaceae.